This 71-nucleotide transfer RNA is filed under the name Marmota monax (woodchuck). It matches the Rfam family "tRNA". Rfam says of the family: Transfer RNA (tRNA) molecules are approximately 80 nucleotides in length. Their secondary structure includes four short double-helical elements and three loops (D, anti-codon, and T loops). The record is from Rfam by way of RNAcentral. Lineage: Eukaryota; Metazoa; Chordata; Mammalia; Rodentia; Sciuridae.
GCGGUUGUAGCCCAGUGGUAGAGCGCAUGCCUAGCAUGCAUGAGGCACUGGGUUCCAUUCUCAGCAUCACA